This 617-nucleotide ribosomal RNA is filed under the name uncultured Ceratobasidiaceae. RNAcentral's name for it is "eukaryotic LSU rRNA". The stretch from base 168 to 321 matches the Rfam family "5.8S ribosomal RNA". Lineage: Eukaryota; Fungi; Basidiomycota; Agaricomycetes; Cantharellales; Ceratobasidiaceae. The record is from RNAcentral.
UCAGGCAUGUGCACGCCUUUCUCUUUUAUCCAUACACACCUGUGCACCUGUAGACAGAUUUAGGGGAACUUUCAUUUUUUUUGAGUGGGGACCCUGCUGUCUAUUUAAUUUUAUAUAAACUCAAUUUAUUUUAAAAUGAAUGUAAUGGAUGUAACACAUCUAAUACUAAGUUUCAACAACGGAUCUCUUGGCUCUCGCAUCGAUGAAGAACGCAGCGAAAUGCGAUAAGUAAUGUGAAUUGCAGAAUUCAGUGAAUCAUCGAAUCUUUGAACGCACCUUGCGCUCCUCGGUAUUCCUUGGAGCAUGCCUGUUUGAGUAUCGUGAAAUCUUCAAAGUAAAUCUUUUGUUCACUCAAUUGGUUCUACUUUGGUAUUGGAGGUUUAUUGCAGCUUCACACCUGCUCCUCUUUGUGCAUUAGCUGGAUUCUCAGUGUUAUGCUUGGUUCCACUUGGCGUGGUAAAGUUAAUUUAAUCGCUGAGGACACUCUCUAUAACCAAAAAAAGGGGGGGGUGGCCAAGGUAAAUACAGAUGAACCCGCUUCUAAUAGUCCAUUGGCUUGGACAAAAAUUAUUUAUUACGAUCUGAUCUCAAAUCAGGUAGGACUACCCGCUGAACUU